UCAAAAAUAAUUUAAAAUAAAAAUCUCGUCCCCACAAGACCACAAAUAAGGGUCAAUCCCUUUUUUUGAA
Molecule: transfer RNA, 70 nt
Filed under: Hertwigia falcifera
Lineage: Eukaryota; Metazoa; Porifera; Hexactinellida; Lyssacinosida; Euplectellidae
Description: tRNA-Val
Source: RNAcentral